GCCAGCAGCCAUAUUGCCCUGCAACUCAGAACUGGAUUGCCACUGAAUCUACUGUAAGCGGGUAUGAGCCCAGUCAGUACCUGAAUGAGAGACCGCCUGGGAAGAACUAAGGUUGCUGCUAGAA
Molecule: ribosomal RNA, 124 nt
Filed under: Lepisosteus oculatus (spotted gar)
Lineage: Eukaryota; Metazoa; Chordata; Actinopteri; Semionotiformes; Lepisosteidae
Source: RNAcentral